ACUCAAAUCUGCCCUUCGUUUUCUGAAAUUUCCGUUGUUUGGUUAUAUUUCCGUUAAGGGCUGCUACUUGGUUAAUAGAGGAAUCGACAAUCCGACCGUUGGAUUGUCACCAAACUUUGAUACGUUAUAGUACGUACUAUUUGAGGAUAUUAGAAACUUAUGGAUUGGAUAUCCGACGUACGGAUCUUCCCGAAUAGGAUAUGUAAGUUACUUGUUCUAUUGAUAAGAAUUAUGAGACGUGAUUUGAUAAUUGUUUUGGGCGCCGAUCGUUUGUGACACCUCGAUAUUCAUGCUGGGGAGUUGUAGCGCGGACCUUAGGUGAGUGGGUUUUUUUCCUUUUUAUAGUGUGUGUAUAUAUAUACACACACCUUACUGUUUUCCAUGAAUGUUUUAAAUUGAUUAUACAUAGCAUGCCAUGAUUUAAAUGUGUUAUAUUUAAAUAUUGCAUUGUGAUGAGAUUUGUGGUUAUGCCAAAUGAUCCUAUGGAGGCGCAGGUAAGUUCAGGUGAGUUAUUUUGUGAUUGAAAUGGUUGAAUUAUAUGAGUAAGCAUAUAUUCAUUUAGAGCUCAUCAUUGUUGCACCCUGGUGUUAGUGCUCCUGCCCCGGGCCAGGGCACAGCCUUCAUGUGAUGUUCACCUCCCGCAUCGCACACUCGCCUUAGAUCCAAGUUAGGUGCUUGCCUGUCAUAUAGGUCGCAUUAGGCGACUCCGACUCGUAGGUGACCCGCGUAUAGCACUAGAUUUCACGUAAUCGUAGCACUAGAGCAUACACAUUUACACCCAGCAUGUCAUACAGGUCACACUAUGUGACUCCGACUCGUGAGCUAGCAUAGACUGAUGAGCAAUAGAUCUAGUUGUACAUGUCACAUUAGGUAACUCUGACAUGCAUGCUAGUUUAGACAGAUUUCACACCUGACUUACAUUUAUUAUUGCUGAGAUAUUGUAGCAUGGCAUGCUUCUGUUUUCACUGCACUUGGGCAUUCAUUUUUGUACUUACGUAGUAUUAUUAUUUUCUGGAAAUUAUAUAGGUUUUACGGCGAGGAAUUAUAACGUUUUCAAAAGGUUUUUAUUAAAACUUUAUUUUCAGGACCACUCACCCUUGUUUUUCGCCCCUCCAGGUUCUAGUAGCAGAGUUUUCAUAACGACGAGGAUUAUUGGAAAAUCUUGGGGUAGACGAUUACCAUCUAUGGUAUAAUUCUCACCUUAUUUUACUAUAUUGUAUUUAUGCUUUGUUAUCACGUGUGAAAUGGGUUCAUACCUGCUCACCACGCACUCUUGUAUUUAGGCACUUUUAGGUUUAAAUCUAUUCAUAUUUUCCACAUCAUUAUACUUUAUGGUUUCGUCACCUUAUAGGUGUCGGCUAACACAACUCGAUUUGGAGUCCUAAUGGACAUUCCAGGUCGGGGUGUGUCAUGAAAACCAUUCCUGAUCUUUAAUGUUUCUCUCAUCCAAAAAUUUAAAGUACAUAGGCUAAGAGCGUGCAAAUUGGGUCCAAACAAUAUGUCACGUGAUAAAAUAGAUAAUUG
This 1524-nucleotide long non-coding RNA is filed under the name Malus domestica (apple). Its description in RNAcentral is "long non-coding RNA (MDOM_LNC010174)". The record is from RNAcentral. Lineage: Eukaryota; Viridiplantae; Streptophyta; Magnoliopsida; Rosales; Rosaceae.